This is a long non-coding RNA of Spinacia oleracea (spinach), 1513 nucleotides long. RefSeq lists it as uncharacterized. The record is from RefSeq and is a predicted model, not a curated record. NCBI's taxonomy places the organism in Eukaryota, Viridiplantae, Streptophyta, Magnoliopsida, Caryophyllales, Amaranthaceae. The transcript has 5 exons.
CACAACAAUUUCACCUUGAUUUUCUUUUCUCCGCGAUAUCUUAAAUUUGAGGCACGUAUGGUUUGAUAUUAGCAAUUGUCAAUGUGUCAACUUAGAUUAUAUCCACCAGGAGGUCUAUAUUGCAUUUUUUGGCUGUUAAAUCUUUAGAAGUAAGAAGAUACAAUACAUUCAGACGAAAGCAUUACUGUGAAUACCAUAUUACUUUUUCGUAGUUGGGCGUCACUUGAAGCCCACUUGCUUGCCUUUUUCGACUGCAAAGUAAUUCCACUUCGAAAUUCGAUAACUUACAAUAUUUGACAGUUCAAACUUCAAAGGAUGUUGUUAAUUUUCUCAAGGGUUGAAUGUUUUUCAGCAAUCUGUUGUAUAUUCGAUCACUUGUUUGUUCCAUUUCAUUCCUGCCUCACUAUUUGCUCUGGUUCUCGGGUCAUAUUAGGCUAAUUACUUUCAUUUUCAAGACGAGUUCUUAAAGGAUGUAAUCCCUCAGGGUCGGCUAGCAGAGUUGUUGAUUCCAUUCUCAACUCCAAGCGUCUGGAUCUAUACAGCUUGUAUAGAGAGGGAGCUUCCUUUUAUAACUACAGGAGGUAGUUUUCAAACUGGAGUCGAACACACUAGGGAAAUGUAAUGCUCCACCACGGAGAGAGUUUGCUUCUUUGUUGCUUUGCAUUGAUGUGGCAAAAAUGGUGAUUAAACUAAGAUGGACAACAAAGGGAGCUGAGGGACGUAAACAAAUAGGCAUCUGGAAUUAUAAUGGCAAACAAUAUUCACAUAACGUCUGGCGGAUGCUGGUUUGGGUCUUUAUUAUUUGAAAAAAAUUGUAUGCAUAUUAGUAUAUGAUGCAUGAUAAUGAUGAUUUUAACAACUAAUGUAUUUUCCCAUUAAAAAGGUGUCAUGUAGGUUGCAGGCCUUGCGGCUCCAUGUCGUUUAUCAAAGUAGAUAGCUAGGGGUCAUGUAAGUUGCGGUCAUUGCGGCUCCAUGUCUAUCAAAGUAGUAAGCACUAUGUUGGUCAAAGAUGAUGUUGCAUGCCAGUGCUCUUGGAUCCAGUAACCUUUGCCAGUUCAAAAUAUUUCUUACAAAGGUGUGGCUAUACUAGAAGAAGCCAUGACAACUCGAAGUUGCAUGGAGCACCAUUCCGUCUUUUGGGGAGCUUUUCUUAGAUAAUGGGUUGAAAACUAUAUGGAGAGCCAAAGUGAAAGAUGUAGCGUGGUGAGAAUUUUAGCAGAAUUAGCGUCAAACAUUGUUACAAUCGCAUCUCAUGUUCAGAAAGGAUAUGCAUUGACCCAGAGAUAAUGUCAAAUGAUUUUUGUAAAUAUUAAAAAAAAAUAUUCAAGUGGUGUUGUCGCAAAUAUUAGAUAUUUGUAUUCAGAAGACCAUUUUUUUUACUCUUAGCACAAAAUAGAUAUUUGUGUUUGAGAGAUGAUCAACUUAUUCGCUAUUGCAUCAAUAAACAGUAAUCUUGUAAAGUGUUUUUGGUUACAAUCUUCAAAUAAUUUUUCAAGGUAGAUACUCUAACAAA